This 253-nucleotide ribosomal RNA is filed under the name uncultured bacterium. RNAcentral describes it as "partial 16S ribosomal RNA". It matches the Rfam family "Bacterial small subunit ribosomal RNA", at positions 524 to 776 of the family's 1533-position model. The record is from RNAcentral.
UACGAAGGGGGCUAGCGUUGCUCGGAAUCACUGGGCGUAAAGGGUGCGUAGGCGGGUCUUUAAGUCAGGGGUGAAAUCCUGGAGCUCAACUCCAGAACUGCCUUUGAUACUGAAGGUCUUGAGUCCGGGAGAGGUGAGUGGAACUGCGAGUGUAGAGGUGAAAUUCGUAGAUAUUCGCAAGAACACCAGUGGCGAAGGCGGCUCACUGGCCCGGUACUGACGCUGAGGCACGAAAGCGUGGGGAGCAAACAGG